Molecule: small nuclear RNA, 164 nt
Organism: Mesocricetus auratus (golden hamster)
Lineage: Eukaryota; Metazoa; Chordata; Mammalia; Rodentia; Cricetidae
Gene: U1
Rfam family: U1 spliceosomal RNA
About the family: U1 is a small nuclear RNA (snRNA) component of the spliceosome (involved in pre-mRNA splicing). Its 5' end forms complementary base pairs with the 5' splice junction, thus defining the 5' donor site of an intron.
Source: Ensembl
AUACUUACCUGGCAGGGGAGAUACCAUGAUCACGUAGGUGGUUUUCCCAGGGCGAGGCCCACCCAUUGCACUUGGGGUGUGCUGACCCCUGCGAUUUCCCCAAAUGCGGGAAACUCGACUGCAUAAUUUGUGGUAGUGGGGGACUGCGUUCGCGCUUUCCCCUG